AUUGAACGCUGGCGGCAGGCCUAACACAUCCAAGUCGAGCGAGCGGCGGACGGGUGAGUAAUGUAUGGGGACUGCCCGUUAGAGGGGGAUAACUACUGGAAACGGUGGCUAAUACCGCAUACUGUCGGAUAACCCAUAUGGGAUUAGCUAGUAGGUAAGGUAAUGUCUUACCUAGGCGACGAUCCCUAGCUGGUCUGAGAGGAUGAUCAGCAACACGGGGACUGAGAGAGGGCCCAGAGUGCUACGGAGGGAGCAGAGGGGAAUAAUGCACAAGGGGAGCAAGAGUGAUGAAGCCAUGCCGCGUGUAUGAAGAAGGCCAUAGGGUUGUAAAGUACUUUGAGUCGGGAGGCGUUACCGACAGAAGAAGCACAGGCUAACACCGUGGCAGCAGCCGCGGUAAUAC
RNAcentral lists this ribosomal RNA (403 nucleotides) under uncultured bacterium. RNAcentral describes it as "partial 16S ribosomal RNA". It matches the Rfam family "Bacterial small subunit ribosomal RNA", at positions 29 to 526 of the family's 1533-position model. The record is from RNAcentral.